RNAcentral lists this non-coding RNA (233 nucleotides) under Pontibacillus marinus. RNAcentral's name for it is "T-box sequence". It matches the Rfam family "T-box leader". Rfam says of the family: Uncharged tRNA acts as the effector for transcription antitermination of genes in the T-box leader family. T-boxes are found upstream of many aminoacyl-tRNA synthetase genes and some amino acid biosynthetic genes usually in Gram-positive bacteria. Lineage: Bacteria; Bacillati; Bacillota; Bacilli; Caryophanales; Bacillaceae. The record is from RNAcentral.
UUAAAAUUAAUGAAGAAGAGAGUAGUUACAUGGAAUGUGAUCAGCGAACUGGGGAUGGUGGAAGCCCAGGACAGGAAAUGUAAUGAACCGCACUUUGGAGAUGUCAGGUUGUAUAGAAUAUUCGUGUUUAUACAUUUUGACCGGGUUGCUACCGUUAUAAAGCUUAAAAGUUGGUUCCUUAUGAUGGAACAAUAAGAGUGGUACCGCGGGUGAAAAAAACACUCGCCUCUUUC